Molecule: ribosomal RNA, 749 nt
Filed under: Panstrongylus lignarius
Lineage: Eukaryota; Metazoa; Arthropoda; Insecta; Hemiptera; Reduviidae
Description: SSU rRNA
Rfam family: Eukaryotic small subunit ribosomal RNA
Source: RNAcentral
ACUCUAUUGAGGCCCCGUAAUCGGAAUGAGUACACUUUAAAUCCUUUAACAAGGAUCCAUUGGAGGGCAAGUCUGGUGCCAGCAGCCGCGGUAAUUCCAGCUCCAAUAGCGUAUAUUAAAGUUGUUGCGGUUAAAAAGCUCGUAGUUGGUUCUGCGUGCCGCGCUGUCGGUUCGCCGCCUGUCGGUGUAACUGGCAUGUCGCGGCAUGUCCUGUCGGUGGUGAACGGAGUCCACAAUGCUACAUAGGCUUUAUAGCCGAUGUUAGCAUCGUGUGUACUUCCGUUGGCCGAUCUCUCCUACUUCGGUGCUCUUAAACGAGUGUCGAGGUAGGCCGACACGUUCACUUUGAACAAAUUAGAGUGCUUAAAGCAGGCUGAAAUAUCUGCCUGAAUAGUGGUGCAUGGAAUGAUAAAACAGGACCUCGGUUCUAUUUUGUUGGUUUUAGGAAUAUGAGGUAAUGAUCAAUGUGGACUGGCGGGGGCAUUCGUAUUGCGACGUUAGAGGUGAAAUUCUUGGAUCGUCGCAAGACGCACUAGAGCGAAAGCAUUUGCCAAGUAUGUCUUAAUUGAUCAAGAACGAAAGUUAGAGGUUCGAAGGCGAUCAGAUACCGCCCUAGUUCUAACCAUAAACGAUGCCAGCCAGCGAUCCGCCGAUGUUCCUUUAAUGACUCGGCGGGGAGCUUCCACCCGGGAAACCAAAGCUUUUGGGUUCCGGGGGAAGUAUGGUUGCAAAGCUGAAACUUAAAGGAA